AACGAACGCUGGCGGCAGGCCUAAUACAUGCAAGUCGAACGAGAAAUCAUCUUCGGAUGGUGGACAGUGGCAGACGGGUGAGUAUCGCGUGGGAACCUACCUUUCGGUACGGAAUAAGUUCGGGAAACCGGACGUAAUACCGUAUACGCCCUACGGGGGAAAGAUUUAUUGCCGAGAGACGGGCCCGCGUUGGAUUAGCUAGUUGGUAAGGUAACGGCUUACCAAGGCUACGAUCCAUAGCUGAUCUGAGAGGAUGAUCAGCCACACUGGGACUGAGACACGGCCCAG
This 288-nucleotide ribosomal RNA is filed under the name uncultured bacterium. RNAcentral's name for it is "partial 16S ribosomal RNA". It matches the Rfam family "Bacterial small subunit ribosomal RNA", at positions 29 to 334 of the family's 1533-position model. The record is from RNAcentral.